GCGGGGCGGCGAGGCCGCGGUCGGCGAACGGGGAAGGCGAGAGGAGGCGCUUGGCGCUGCACCUGUCGUCGGCCGGUGGCAGGAAAGAGCCACGAAGGGCAUGGAGGAGCUCUGUGGAAAAUGGAAGCCUACGCAGCGGUCAAGUCAGCGCGGGGGGGUAGGGGACGCGUGGAAAGAGCCAUUCCACCUCAGCGGUGUGAGCCCGACCUGAGGCUUUUUUUUUUCCCUAGGAAAUAGCCAGUUGAAGGGAUGAUCUGAAAACAGUUUUCCGAGGAAACACUUAGUUAUUCAAGGUCGCUCCAACCAGUGAAAUCUAGACCUUUUAGGAGAGUGGUUUCAAAGACUAGAAAUACAGGAUCCCACGAUUUCAUAUUUAAAACAAGAUGCUUCAUUGCUGGGCACGGAGGCUGAGGCAGGACGAUCAUCAUGGGCCAGCCUGGACUACAGAGGUUUCACUCUAUAGCCUAUGCUGGCCUCAAAAUCACUAUAUAGAGCAGCCUGGCACGGAGCCUUUCAGCAGUUUUCCUGCCUCAGCCUUACAGGCAGCAGCAGCAGCCCCACCACCAGUUGGAUUAAGAAUGGCGAUGCGUGGGCUGGUGAGAUGGCUCAGCGGUUAAGAGUGCCGGCUGCUCUUCCAAAGGUCCUGAGUUCAAAUCCUAGCAACCACAUGGUGGCUCACAACCAUCCGUAACGAAAUCUGAUGCGCUCUUCUGGAGUGUCUGAAGACAGCUACAGUGUGCUUACAUAUAAUAAAUAAAAAAAUAAGAAUGGCGAUGCGUACGCCAGGCAUGGUGGUGCACGCCUUUAAUCCCAGCACUCAGGAGACAGAGGCAGGUGGAUUUCUGAGUUUGAGGCCAGCCUCGUCUACAAAGUGAGUUCCAGGACAGCCAGGACUAUACAGAGAAACCCUGUCUCAAAAAACCAAAAAAUAAAUAAAUAAAAUAAACAAAAAAAAAAAAACCAACAACAACAAAAAAACAA
Long non-coding RNA from Mus musculus (house mouse), 981 nucleotides. RefSeq annotates it as predicted gene 11592. The transcript has 3 exons. The record is from RefSeq and is a predicted model, not a curated record. Lineage: Eukaryota; Metazoa; Chordata; Mammalia; Rodentia; Muridae.